UUUAAUCUCACGUUAUUGUUUUCAAGAUUACUAUUGUUUUGAGAAUUUUGGUUUAUAAUUGUUAUUCUAAUUAUGCUUAUGGUAACUAAGAAAUCUCAACUUAGGCUUCUGUAAACUGAAGGAUGAUAAAACUCCUCAAAGUUCCCAGAGAUGCUAAGCUAAUUCCUAUACAUUAUUUGCAAUUUCCAUGAAAUAGUGAUUCAAGAAAAAAAAAAAUUUAAUGGAUGCUUAAAAUAUUAUAUAUGCUAUAAUCCUAUAAACAUCAUUAGAAAUAAACGAUUUAAAAGAAUUCUUCAUUAGCAAGAUAAAACAGUGAUCUUACAAACAUGACAAAUAUCUUCAUCCAGCAUAGCCACAUCCAAAAUCCCCAGAGCCUUUGAUGGAAUCUAAAGCCAAAGCAAAAAUGCCCGAGAAAGUACCUAUAAGGCAAAUAAAGAGUUAAGAACAUUCUAUAAGUGGCAUGGUAAUAAAAGAGAACAGAAUAGAAUACCCAAUAAGAAGAAUAGAUAAGAGAAAAACUAUCAACCAGUCAAUACAUAAAUCCAGUGGUAAUUAGUGGCCAGUGGGCAACUGGGCAAAAUCAAAAUUCUUGCUAAUAGUAUCAACACAGAUACAUAGUUACAUAAACUUGACAACAAAGGGUCCAUUUGAUCGCAUGAAACUGUUAACGAAACAGCAAGCAUAUAAUUGGCAUGUUUAUCAAUCACAAGAAAACCUAUUGGUACUCAUAAACAAUAGUUUUACAGUUUUCACUGAAAAUAUGUAUGCUUUUAUUAUGUAUUGAAAAGGAAGAAACACAACUGAGUGUCUGAGUAUUAAUUGUUCAAGCAAUAUUCUUUAAUGCCUAUAGAAUUAAACAUUAAGACAAGGUGUGGCUGUGAUGACACUGGAACCACCAUUUUGCAGUCAAUAAAACUUUGCCCUCACCAACAAAAAGUUAUUGAAUAUAUAGUUUUACAUAUUUUUCGCUCUAUGAAGAUCCGUCCACUGAGUUUUAAUCCUAAUGAAGAUCAUAAAAUCAGAUUCUUACUCAUUACUAUGGCAAGAAAGGUCAUGUCCUAACAAAGUGCAUGUAGAGAUAUUGAUAACACACAUGAAGUCAAUGGUAUUUCAGAACUAACCAAUUGAGCAGCAGCUAGUAGACCACCAAAAAAAGAAUAAUUAUAUUUGUCUGACAUAAGAACUCCAAUAGGAGCAAUACUGGAAAUGCCAAUCCAUAAAAAAAUUCCUAUGCUGAGAUCGUCAACAAUUAAAUCUCAUAAUAAGGUCUUAUUUGGUAAAAUGUCAUGAUAUCACCCUCUUAGACCAUAUAAUUUAUAUAAAAAAAAAAGAAAAAAGUGUUUUCUCUGAAUACUCAGCUCAUUACUCAUUGUAAAGAACACAAGUUCCUUGAUAUUCAAUCAAUACUCGUAUAUACAUAUUUCAAAUUAACUUCAGCAAUCAAUUACCUGAUACAAAACCUGAUACCAAAUCUUGUUUUUCGACGUUACUUCAUCCUAUACCAAUUAUGCCUUCUUCUAAAAUUCCACUUCAGAGAGAGCCAUGAAGGACGUGCAUCUUUAUCACUUUCCUAGGCCCUGGUUUAUCUCUAUCCACAUUCAAUCUUUCCUAAGUCUAAUUUACCCACACGAUUAGUAAUGCCAAUUCUGUGUGCCGAAUCACCUGAUUUUAUAGCUACAAUUAUUCCUCUCAUUCCCCUUCUCCCUUGUGAAGGUAGGACUCGAUCCCAAGACCUUGGGCACAAGCUCCCACCUCAUAAUAAAUCUACCAUCGUUAAGCUCCAAAAAAAAAGCAUUCACAGACCUAAUUUCUUUUCACGAAGUACCCUCUUACUCUUGCCAUAUUAGAUGAUCUUUAUACUCAAACCAUGGAACCCAUGUGCUUCACACAGUAAAAGAAAGGUGUUCGUUGGAGGGAAGCCUUCAAGAAUAAAACCAGUAUCCACCCUAUGAGAAACGAGUAAAUGACACAUGGACUCUGGUUCCACACCAACCUAUAUGAUCUUAGUUAAUUGUAAACAGAUAUUUACUGUCGAAAAGAGGGCAUAUAGUUUGUCGACCUCCUUAAAGCAAGGACUGUGGUUUCACUAACCUGGGUAUACAAAAUCUCUGACGAAUGAUUAUCUCUGAAAUUUGAAGGCCCAAAGAAAAACCUUGAAAAACAAAAGCGAUGGAGAGAUGGGGGAGAUAUAUACAUCGGGUGCACCAAACCGAUGUAUAAAUAGCAGUAUAUCAGGAUAUACCGGACCAGCUUAUCAUAGUGUUUGUAAAUUUCAGCAUUACCUUCAUUAACUUAAAAGCUUCUCAUGCAUGGUAGUUUCAAGUUUCUACUUGGUCACAAUCUCUUUUGAUUAAGUUUUCUACUGUCUUGUUUUAAAGCAUCUCUUAUCAUUUAAAAUCUGGUCCACACUAUUGCAUCUUUUUUGCUGCAUUCAAAGCAAAUCAAAAUACAUCUGGCUUACAGAUUUCUCAAUGAAAUUACAAUCGUCAUAUCAUCCACCUGGCAUGGAAGAGGCUAAGAACUUCCACACAAUCGGAGACAAUUGUAAAAUCAGCUGAAUUUACAAGCUCAAGCCAUCUCUCUUGGUAAUCUCAUACAUCGGCAAACUAUAAUAUUAACCAGUCCAGACACCAGCCUCUGCUUUAAAAGAGUCUCAGUUGAUGGAAAAUCCUACUGAGGUAAGUUGUAUGCUCUUAAAAGUAGUACAACACCUCAAAACAUUAAUUAAAACUGUUUCUUUUUUCUCCUCAAAAUCGACUACUAAAUUGAAGGUUUUGGAUCUUAAUAAAAGUCAAAUGUGUGUAUCUUAGCUACACUAUAUAGGCAAAUGUGUGUAUCAUAGCUAGUACAAUUUAAUUUCGUAAAGUCAACAAAAAAAUACAAAUUUCAGAUAAAGCAUGGAAUCAGAAAAUCUUGCAAUCACCAAUGUUAGUAGAUAAUCGAAAAUUUUGGAUCUGAAUUUAAUUUAUUAAUUAUGCUCGAACUUACUAAAAAACAGGAGCAAACCGUAUAUUCAUAAAUUUCAUCCUAGGUAGCAAGAUCCAUAUAGGUAAAAUGAUCAAAAAAUACAACGUACUUUCACAAAUUUUUCACUUUAUACAAGGUACUAAAAAUCACGCCAAAAUAUCAAUGUACUUUGAAAAAAAUUUCACGUUAUACAAUCUGUCCAAAACUAGGUAACGGACUGCUUACGUGGCAAAUAAUUAUCUACGUGUAUUUUUAAAAAAUAAAUAAAUUAAACAACAUUUCCAACAUAUCAAAUGAGGCACAUGUUUCUCACAUGAUUGACCUCCUUCUUCCCUAUUUUAACAAUUGAAUUCAACAAAUGUAAAAAUCCCCAAAUCUGUAAAUCCCCAAUUCAAUUUCAAACCCUAUCUUUUGUGUUUUCAUCUUUUAGUGUUAAACUAAUUACUAGUUAUUAUUUAUUUCAAAGAGGAUUUUUCUUUUACACACACAACAAGAUUGUUCCACACCGAUUCUUUCUUUAGAUUCACCAAUUCACUAUACAUUAGUGUUUUAUUGGGGUUUUAGUUGUGAGAAAAUGGUUAAUUAAAAUUAGGGUUUGAAGAAUUAAAGAGAAGAUUUAGGGUUCACAUUUGCUAUGAGAAAGAGAGAUGGAAGAAAUGUUGAUUUAGGGGGUUUCGAUGUAAUGGAGUAAUACAUCUAUAUCACUAACAUCUUGGGAUUAAUAGAUGGUUUAGAUGUAAACAUUUGUUGAUGAUGACAUGUUUUAAAGUAGAUGUGUUGGUUUUAAUUUUACAAUCAGCAUUUCUUUAAAAAAAAUAAAAAUACAUGUAGAUAAUUAUUGGCCACCUAAGCAGUCCGUUAGUUAGUUUUAGACAGAUUGUAUAACGUGAAAUUUUUUUUAAAGUACAUUGAUAUUUUGGCGUGAUUUUUAGUACAUUGUAUAAAAUGAAAAAAUUUGUGAAAGUACAUUGUAUUUUUUGAUCAUUUUACCAUCCAUAUAUAUUUAAGAUAUGACAAUUAAGCAAUACAAAGCAAAAUUCAUAACUAAAUCAAUAAUAGAAAACAAAAUUUCGAGAAAAAUCAUGAAUCACCUUGCUCGAUUGAGGUAGUCAAUUGAGAGAGAAGAUGGCAGCAAACAUAAUAAGUAGUUCUCUUCAUCGAUUACUUUCAAAUCAAAACCCGAUCAUCUUGAAAAAGAAAUAACAUACCAACACAAAGAAGAUGAGAAGAAAUAUAUUAUCUACAAAAACAAAGAAUGUUGUAGAUCCAUGACUACGUCUCUGCUUCUUUUCUUUCUUCUUUGUUUCAUCAAUUAAUUCCAAUUUCGCCAUUUUCUUUUGCUUAUCGAAUCAAUAGAUCUAGGGUUUUCAGAGUGCAAUGCCGUUAGCCAAUCUAAUCUCGUUAGUUUAGUUUCUCUUUAUUUCCCCGAUUUAAUC
RNAcentral lists this long non-coding RNA (4403 nucleotides) under Aquilegia coerulea. RNAcentral's name for it is "long non-coding RNA (ACOE_LNC001439)". The record is from RNAcentral. Lineage: Eukaryota; Viridiplantae; Streptophyta; Magnoliopsida; Ranunculales; Ranunculaceae.